UGGCCAUAGACUUGGAGAAGGAACUGGCUGGAGAGAACUCUCGCAAUGAAACUGUCAGCACAGAUGCAGCAGAAAAGAGAAAGCAGAGUUCCUCCAGUCAAGGGGACCAGAGGAAAGAGUCAGAGGAAGUCCCAGAAAGAGGACUGAAGAGGAAGAAGGAGCCUGACGACCUCUGCAGUCUGCAUGGAAAGGAGGUACAACUCUUCUGUCAAGAAGAUAGCGAGCUGGUGUGCUAUGAAUGUCGAAAGAACCACAAGGCUCACAACUUCAGACCAAUCCGUACAAUAGUGC
This is a long non-coding RNA of Sardina pilchardus (European sardine), 291 nucleotides long. RefSeq lists it as uncharacterized. The transcript is spliced from 3 exons. The record is from RefSeq and is a predicted model, not a curated record. NCBI's taxonomy places the organism in Eukaryota, Metazoa, Chordata, Actinopteri, Clupeiformes, Clupeidae.